GUGAACAGCAUGUAUGCUUGGUUAGCUCAGCUGGUCAGAGCGUGGUGCUAAUAACACCAAGGUCAUGGGUUCAAUCCUCAUACUGGCCA
This 89-nucleotide transfer RNA is filed under the name Poecilia formosa (Amazon molly). Its description in RNAcentral is "miRNA (ENSPFOG00000021231.1)". The stretch from base 16 to 89 matches the Rfam family "tRNA". From Rfam's summary of the family: Transfer RNA (tRNA) molecules are approximately 80 nucleotides in length. Their secondary structure includes four short double-helical elements and three loops (D, anti-codon, and T loops). Lineage: Eukaryota; Metazoa; Chordata; Actinopteri; Cyprinodontiformes; Poeciliidae. The record is from RNAcentral.